UGCCAGCCGCCGCGGUAAUACGGAGGGUGCAAGCAUUAAUCGGAUUUAUUGGGCGUAAAGAGCACGUAGGCGGUCUGCUAAGUCUGGUGUGAAAGCCCCCGGCUCAACCGGGGAAUUGCAUUGGAUACUGGCAGACUCGAGGACGGUUGGGGUGAGUGGAACUCCUGGUGGAGCGGUGAAAUGCGUAGAUAUCAGGAGGAACACCAGUGGCGAAAGCGGCUCACUGGACCGUCUCUGACGCUGAGGUGCGAAAGCUAGGGUAGCGAACAGGAUUAGAUA
This 279-nucleotide ribosomal RNA is filed under the name uncultured bacterium. Its description in RNAcentral is "partial 16S ribosomal RNA". It matches the Rfam family "Bacterial small subunit ribosomal RNA", at positions 506 to 784 of the family's 1533-position model. The record is from RNAcentral.